This 253-nucleotide ribosomal RNA is filed under the name uncultured bacterium. Its description in RNAcentral is "partial 16S ribosomal RNA". It matches the Rfam family "Bacterial small subunit ribosomal RNA", at positions 524 to 776 of the family's 1533-position model. The record is from RNAcentral.
UACGGGGGGGGCAAGCGUUGUUCGGAAUUACUGGGCGUAAAGGGCUCGUAGGCGGCCAACUAAGUCGGACGUGAAAUCCCUCGGCUUAACCGGGGAACUGCAUCUGAUACUGGAUGGCUUGAGAUUGGGAGAGGGAUGCGGAAUUCCAGGUGUAGCGGUGAAAUGCGUAGAUAUCUGGAGGAACACCGGUGGCGAAGGCGGCAUCCUGGACCAACACUGACGCUGAGGAGCGAAAGCCAGGGGAGCAAACGGG